This 459-nucleotide ribosomal RNA is filed under the name Staphylococcus haemolyticus. Its description in RNAcentral is "bacterial SSU rRNA". It matches the Rfam family "Bacterial small subunit ribosomal RNA", at positions 47 to 505 of the family's 1533-position model. The record is from RNAcentral. Lineage: Bacteria; Bacillati; Bacillota; Bacilli; Caryophanales; Staphylococcaceae.
CCUAAUACAUGCAAGUCGAGCGAUCCUUUGACGUUAGCGGCGGACGGGUGAGUAACACGUGGGUAACCUACCUAUAAGACUGGGAUAACUUCGGGAAACCGGAGCUAAUACCGGAUAAUAUUUCGAACCGCAUGGUUCGAUAGUGAAAGAUGGUUUUGCUAUCACUUAUAGAUGGACCCGCGCCGUAUUAGCUAGUUGGUAAGGUAACGGCUUACCAAGGCGACGAUACGUAGCCGACCUGAGAGGGUGAUCGGCCACACUGGAACUGAGACACGGUCCAGACUCCUACGGGAGGCAGCAGUAGGGAAUCUUCCGCAAUGGGCGAAAGCCUGACGGAGCAACGCCGCGUGAGUGAUGAAGGUCUUCGGAUCGUAAAACUCUGUUAUUAGGGAAGAACAUACGUGUAAGUAACUAUGCACGUCUUGACGGUACCUAAUCAGAAAGCCACGGCUAACUACG